Molecule: small RNA, 208 nt
Filed under: Arabidopsis thaliana (thale cress)
Lineage: Eukaryota; Viridiplantae; Streptophyta; Magnoliopsida; Brassicales; Brassicaceae
Description: ATSL077430
Source: RNAcentral
AACUAUUAUAUUUACUUAUCAUUUUUUUAUAAAUAUUUAAAAAUAAAAACCUACAGCAGUAAUUCUACAGCAAUAAAAGUUACAGCUACAGCCAACACAGCUACAGCAAAAUCUCUACAGCGAAAAUUCUACAGUUACAGCCCAACCAAUCACCCACCAAAUAUAAGUCGACUGUUUUGAUAUAGUCGGUAGAGAAAAAAUUAAGUCG